Molecule: transfer-messenger RNA, 355 nt
Filed under: Bacillota bacterium
Lineage: Bacteria; Bacillati; Bacillota
Also listed under: 1 other name
Description: Firmicutes bacterium (anaerobic digester metagenome) transfer-messenger RNA
Rfam family: transfer-messenger RNA
About the family: Bacterial tmRNA, also known as 10Sa RNA or SsrA, is named for its dual tRNA and mRNA-like properties. Its role is to liberate the mRNA from a stalled ribosome.
Source: RNAcentral
GGGGGCGAGUAGGCUCGACGGCUUGCGUUCAGGCAGUAUAAGCGGGUCGAGAUGGUCGCGGUCUCGUUAAACAGCGGCAAAAUAACAAUAAGUGCCAAUAAUCAAUACGCACUCGCAGCCUAAUUAGGCUGCCGUCCUACCCAAGAUGGGCCUGUGAUCUGGGCAAGGGCGUCACCAUAACAGGCUCGGUCUCCUCCUGAUUCUCGGAGGGAGGAUCGACACCUGACGAGAUAGUUGCCCUGUGAGCUUGCUCUUCAGCGCAUAGGGCGGCGAAUGCAAAUGAAGAGAUGCACCCGGAGAAAAUACUGUUGGUUCCAGGUCGGACGCGGGGUGCGACUCCCCGCCGCCUCCACCA